GGGGAGGUUGAACGGGAAAUGGUGGCUGGAAGAGGAGGUGGAGAAGGAGAGAGAGACACAAACACCAGUCUUCUCUCAUAUACUUAGUUACUGUAACCAACACAUGAUUAAACUGUCAAGAUCUUGAGGCACAGACCAUAUCAGAGAUUUCUCUCAUUGGCUCUGUUAUCAACUGCCCAUGACAAACACUUGAAAGAGGGGAGGUGGAGCUGGAAAUGGUGACAGAAGGAGGAGGAGGAGAAGGAGAGAGACGUUUGAAAGCAUGACCAUUAUUCCCAUUCCACCAUAACAAAAGGUACAGGAGAGGAGAGCAACACUUCAGAAUCACCCAGCAACUACGUAGAGAGAGCACUGGACCGGGACAAUUCCUGGUUCUGCCACGGGACUGCUGGGUGACCUUGGCCCAGGAAGGAGAGUGCUGAGUGGCCUGAAGGUGUCUACUAUGAAGGAAAAAGUGAUGGUGAUGUGGAAGAGGUGAACCUCUCCAUGACCCUCGGACGUAUGCAGUGACAGUAAAUCAAGGAGCUGUGCAGUAGCUUCGCGCCAAUGUUCUCAGCCACCCCAGGAUGGACCGAACGGGUAUACCAUACCUUUGACACAGCUGCGAACGGACACGCUCCAGCGCCUUGUGGAUGUUCUGCAGGUCCGGAGGCAGGAGGACAGAGCCCCGCUGCAGUCUCUCUCUAACUGCCCUCCCCCGCCACAAAGUCCCAUACCCCCCUCACCCAAAGUCCCAAGAAGGAGGGGCGGCAGAGGCCGUGAAAACUCACUCCACCCCUGCAGACCGCUCAAGUAACAGAAGGCUGUCAUUCCCCAAAAUUUGAUAAGUCCUUUCCAAGCCCCCGUCCCAGUUUCAUCCCCUAAGUGUGUAGUUGCUAAUAAAAAAUAUGUUUGUUAAUUACUGUUUCCAUCAUGUGCUU
This is a long non-coding RNA of Malaclemys terrapin pileata, 920 nucleotides long. RefSeq lists it as uncharacterized. Lineage: Eukaryota; Metazoa; Chordata; Testudines; Emydidae. The transcript has 3 exons. The record is from RefSeq and is a predicted model, not a curated record.